GACGAACGCUGGCGGCGUGCCUAAUACAUGCAAGUUGAGCGCUGAAGGUUGGUACUUGUACCAACUGGAUGAGCAGCGAACGGGUGAGUAACGCGUGGGGAAUCUGCCUUUGAGCGGGGGACAACAUUUGGAAACGAAUGCUAAUACCGCAUAAAAACUUUAAACACAAGUUUUAAGUUUGAAAGAUGCAAUUGCAUCACUCAAAGAUGAUCCCGCGUUGUAUUAGCUAGUUGGUGAGGUAAAGGCUCACCAAGGCGAUGAUACAUAGCCGACCUGAGAGGGUGAUCGGCCACAUUGGGACUGAGACACGGCCCAAACUCCUGCGGGAGGCAGCAGUAGGGAAUCUUCGGCAAUGGACGAAAGUCUGACCGAGCAACGCCGCGUGAGUGAAGAAGGUUUUCGGAUCGUAAAACUCUGUUGAUAGAGAAGAACGUUGGUGAGAGUGGAAAGCUCAUCAAGUGACGGUAACUACCCAGAAAGGGACGGCUAACUACGUG
RNAcentral lists this ribosomal RNA (497 nucleotides) under uncultured bacterium. RNAcentral's name for it is "partial 16S ribosomal RNA". It matches the Rfam family "Bacterial small subunit ribosomal RNA", at positions 28 to 507 of the family's 1533-position model. The record is from RNAcentral.